AUUUCAUAAUCAGGGCGGAGUGGGAAUGUGCAUACUAUAAAAGUUGUGACAACCCCACAAUUCUCACUCCUGCAAGAUUCUGUUAGUUGUUCUGUGUUUCGUGAAGCAGUUAUUCAAGAAUAUAAUCAAAACAUGGAGAAUCUACUCAACUCUGAUCUUAUAAAACAAUUCACUCAACAUGCUUUGUUGGAGGGUAGUCCAGGCUCGCUGAGCAUUGCUGGAGUGAAAAGCCUGAUUCAAGCUCAAUUUUUAAACAUGAUUAAGAAAGAAUUCUCUAUUGAGAAUGUAACUAAAAUGAUGGAUAAAAAUAAUGAUGGAAGAGUCAACCUUGAUGACUUUUUAUCCGUUAUGAAGAGUGUCAUGAAGACAAACCA
Pelodiscus sinensis (Chinese soft-shelled turtle) is the source of this 374-nucleotide non-coding RNA. Lineage: Eukaryota; Metazoa; Chordata; Testudines; Trionychidae. The record is from RefSeq and is a predicted model, not a curated record.